This is a long non-coding RNA of Saccostrea cuccullata (small rock oyster), 178 nucleotides long. RefSeq lists it as uncharacterized. The transcript has 3 exons. The record is from RefSeq and is a predicted model, not a curated record. Lineage: Eukaryota; Metazoa; Mollusca; Bivalvia; Ostreida; Ostreidae.
GUUCCUCAUAGAACGACAGGCCGAAGUAAGUACAUGAAAAGAGUGCUCUUUCAACACUGCAUGGCAAUAUAAACAGUAUAUGCCUCAAAUUUUGAAGAAUCCUCAAUUCAAAUCCAGACUGCGGCAGCCCUACCAUGUAGCUGUUGGACUCGUAUGGGAUAACAAUAAUCAAAAGUCA